Asparagus officinalis (garden asparagus) is the source of this 539-nucleotide long non-coding RNA. RefSeq lists it as uncharacterized. The record is from RefSeq and is a predicted model, not a curated record. The transcript has 3 exons. Lineage: Eukaryota; Viridiplantae; Streptophyta; Magnoliopsida; Asparagales; Asparagaceae.
ACUGUUUGAGAGUUAAUUAUAUUUAGCAAGUAGGUCCAAGUCUCAGUUAGAAGAGUAUCUAGAUGAAAAAUUAGUCAGUUGGAAGAAAAAUGAUCAUUUGAAUGUUCUCGAGUAUUGGAAAGGCGAAUGCGAGAAGCGUCCUCAAUUGUCGAUGAUGGCUCGAGAUAUAUUGAGUAUUCCUAUUACUUCGGUGGCCUCUGAAUCGGCUUUCAGCAUUGCGGGACGUGUGCUUGACAAGUAUCGAAAUCGUCUUCUUCCGGAGAAUGCUGAAGCUCAAAUUUGUACUGGUUCUUGGUUAGACGGGAUUCCUUCUCUGGCAGACAUUGAAGAAGGAAAUUUAUUAGUACAUGAUUUCAGUAAUCUAGAGGUUUCUGAAUCGGAAGGCGAAAGUGAUUAAGCUGUUGAAGAUGAUGUUGCUCCUCUAACUGAAGUUUCAAAAAUUGCUCCAACUCUGGCAUAUACUGGUUAACUGACUGCUGAUGCUGCAGAGAACCUUGAAUUUGUUCAAUAAAUGGCACAGACGAAUUCUGACGAGAAAG